CCUACGGGGAGCAGCAGUGGGGAAUAUUGGACAAUGGGCGAAAGCCUGAUCCAGCCAUGCCGCGUGUGUGAAGAAGGCCUUCGGGUUGUAAAGCACUUUCAGUGGGGAAGAAAGCCUUGGGGCUAAUACCCUCGAGGAAGGACAUCACCCACAGAAGAAGCACCGGCUAACUCCGUGCCAGCAGCCGCGGUAAUACGGAGGGUGCGAGCGUUAAUCGGAAUUACUGGGCGUAAAGCGCGCGUAGGCGGUCUGAUAAGCCGGUUGUGAAAGCCCCGGGCUCAACCUGGGAACGGCAUCCGGAACUGUCAGGCUAGAGUGCAGGAGAGGAAGGUAGAAUUCCCGGUGUAGCGGUGAAAUGCGUAGAGAUCGGGAGGAAUACCAGUGGCGAAGGCGGCCUUCUGGACUGACACUGACGCUGAGGUGCGAAAGCGUGGGUAGCAAACAGGAUUAGAUACCCGGUAGC
Molecule: ribosomal RNA, 463 nt
Filed under: Vreelandella stevensii
Lineage: Bacteria; Pseudomonadati; Pseudomonadota; Gammaproteobacteria; Oceanospirillales; Halomonadaceae
Description: partial 16S ribosomal RNA
Rfam family: Bacterial small subunit ribosomal RNA
Source: RNAcentral